CCCCAACGGCAGAAUAAGGGACACGUCCCACACACACCCAAGGCACACACACAGGUCAACAACAUACACAACACCUAUGGACUUUGGUUGCCUGAAUAUAUGGUCAAGAUCUUUGAACAGGGCUUGACCAUUGCCCUUCCUGCUUCAUAGAAGAAGCUGCUGGUGGUGCACAAGCAGGUUAUGAUCUAUAAAGCCCUAAGAGAACAGUAUUUCCCAAAAGUGCCCCUUCAAAGCUUUGCAUGGUGUUUCUGAGGAAUGUCACGGUUCCACCACACUCAGAAACAGAUAUGAUGGGGACAUCAAUCCAUCCUUCUCAGCAGCCCUUAUGGAGGACAUCCACACAUCAAGAAAUAUCUCCAGGAUGUUUUUUUGUCCAUGUCAUCCAGCUGAAGACUGCUCAGAGUUUAUGAGAAAUAACAUCUUUUGAUAAACUCUCAUGAGGAGAAGUUACUUCCUUCUGAGGAUUGUUCAUGUGGGAAACUACAUAUUUAUUCAUAGAAUCAGAAGGUUCUUCAAUUACAGAAGCACUGGAAAAACAAAUGAAAGAGUCCUUGGAUAAAGUAGGGCUUUUCAAUUACUAAACCUCCUCUUUGGCAAUUGACAAGAUAAAAAGACAUGGAAAGCAUCACAGAUGUUCUGAAGAGUUAUGUAUACUUCAUAAGUCAGUACAGGUAAGCAUAAACAAUGGUCUAAAGUGGCCUGAGUUACUGAAUAAGGGCAUGUGGCUGAAGCAACUCUUGUCACAAGAGUUUUGAGUCCAUAACAGCAUGUGUAUGCAUAAACACGUGUGUGUACCUGUCAUAGCUCCAAGCAUGUUAAGCCUAGACACCUGAAACUUGGCAUGUAUACUAAGGGAGCCCCACAGUAUAUAACUCAGGGUUACCACCUCCCCCCCACACACACAUUAAUUAAUUUAAUUGGUUUAAAUAUUGCCUAUAGAUGACAAUACCAAGUUCAGUCUACAGGCAAAUCAAGCUCCUACUGAAAAAAGGGAUCAAGCUGAAGCCACAGUAGGGUAAGAGUGUGACCAGAUCUGGAGAUCAGAGAGUAACUGGAGCAGAAAUGGCUGGAGGCAGAACCCCUGCUGCAAGGGAGUAGAAAACUACAUAACAAUCAUGUAGCCCAUCAGAUGUUGCUCAACUGCAGUUCUCAUUGUUGGUUGUGUGUGCCAGGAUGGCAGUCCAGCUCCAGAGAGAGGCACUAUUUGCACUGUUACUCCAUAUAUUUCUGCAUUCCAGCAAGCGUCUAGUUUGCUUCUGGCAUUGGUUUGGUGUCAGCAUCUGACACCCACUGCCAUGCUAUCAAUUAAAAAGAAGAACCUUCAAGGAUAUGUUAUGUACAAAAGUCAUUUGCCCAAAAUCAGCCACACCUGUGAAAAGCAUAUCAAGAGGAGGCAAGAGGCAUGCCUAAAGUUCCAGCAGUUCAUGACUUGACACACACUGAACAGAAAUAUGAUGACCAACUCUGACAGCUCCUUGACACUGAUGGAAGCUUCUCAUAUAUCAUAUAGAAUAAGGGCUAUUCUAAAGCCAGAUACCUCUGUUUGCAAUGUAUCUUUGCAGGCUUUCACUGAGAUAGCAAUUGUACAUGUGUGGCCAGUAUAAAUAAUAAUUAAUGACUACAUAAUAACUUAUUUUCACUCUCUGAUGUUACUAUUGACUGAAAUUUAAUCUCCUUUUUUAUUCCGUGUAUUUUUCAGUAUUCUAUGUAUUUUCCAUAUCUCCCUGAAUAGCAGCACUUUCAGAUAUGUCAGUGAAACAGUAGCUUUUUCUGCUGGGAAAUGAAUUGCUCUGAUUUAUGAAGUUCAAAAUAGCACCAGGUGAUUCAGCCUAUGAAGAGAAAGAAAAAGUUGCUCCAGGUUUGUAUCACAGCUACUCAACAGCUAUUCUCAGCUUCAGCUAUUAAGUGGUAAAGCAAUUAAAGAAACUUGGGCAGGUUAUAAACCGCCAUGAAA
This is a long non-coding RNA of Sceloporus undulatus (fence lizard), 1954 nucleotides long. RefSeq lists it as uncharacterized. The transcript is spliced from 4 exons. NCBI's taxonomy places the organism in Eukaryota, Metazoa, Chordata, Lepidosauria, Squamata, Phrynosomatidae. The record is from RefSeq and is a predicted model, not a curated record.